This 1087-nucleotide long non-coding RNA is filed under the name Homo sapiens (human). Its description in RNAcentral is "HSALNT0077044". Lineage: Eukaryota; Metazoa; Chordata; Mammalia; Primates; Hominidae. The record is from RNAcentral.
AGUAGAGACAGGGUUUCAUUGUGUUGGCCAGGCUGGUCUUUAACUCCUGACCUCAGGUGAUCCACCUAACUUGGCCUCCCAAAGUGUUGGGAUUACAGGCGUGAGCCACUGUGCCCAGCUGAUUAAGUUUUUAAAUAUACCUUUCCUAUGUCAAAGCCAAGAUAAAAGGGCAGUGGAGUGCAAGAAACCUUCUUUACCAGAAUCCCUGGAAAGAAAGGGCUCUAGAAGCCAGUGGGUGUGAGCACAUUCAAGUCACGGGGUUUGAGAUUAUGUGCCCGUGGUGGCUGUUUCCUCCCUUCCGUCACUGGGAAGUCCAUCUUGGGUGGCUUCAAGGCUGCUGGAUCUUCAGCCAUUCGGUUGGCCUGGGCACGGAUCAGUUCCAUUGGAGAGGGCUUCUGGGCUCCUCGGUAGGCCUGGGUGGCAAAACUUCCAGAAUCAUACUUCUGAAGGGAUCUCAGUCCAAAGAGGCCCCACUUAUCUGACAAGUUUCUGUCCUUAUCCCCACUUCCAGAGUCCAUGGUGCUAGGAUUUGGGCCAGGUAAGGCUGUGGAAGAACCAGAAGUGAACCAGCCCCUGGGUCUCUGCUUAGGUGAAAAGUGAGAAGUGGUGCUUGGGGUGGACAGGGCUGAUGCAGGUGGCCUCUCUUCUUUUGUUAUCUCUCCACUCUGCAGCUUUAGUUUGUGGAGUGCUUCUGCUACUCUAAGGUACUUGGUCUUCUGAGUGGUGACACCCUUGUGGGUGUGUAGCCAGGAUCUCUCAGCCCUGCCUGUUGCCCAAAAUGCUGAAAGCUUUCCUGGGUCUGUUUUGUGAUCACAUAAUUCAUGACGACAUGGGUAGCUUUAGCCUUCACCACUGGGAGCUUGUCCACACUGUCAAUGGCCGAUGACAGGGACUGGCAGGGGAGGGUAGACUGGCCUCUCCUUCCUCCACCUUGGUUCUGCUAUCCUGCUGCCGCGGGACUGCCUGUGGCCGGGAGUCCGGCACUAAAAAGAUUCCAAGGGCCUACAUCCCCAAGAGGCUGUGGCGCAUCUGGACCCAAGCCAUGGUGAGAGUGGCAGUGACUUCAAAGGUCUCCAGGACUCACUAG